UAAAGGAGUGAUCCGGUGACGGAUGGGCAUGCGUGACAUUAGCUAGUCGGCGGGGUAACGGCCCACCGAGGCGACGAUGUCUAGGGGUUCUGAGAGGAAGGUCCCCCACACUGGUACUGAGACACGGACCAGACUCCUACGGGAGGCAGCAGUGAGGAAUAUUGGUCAAUGGGCUUACGCCUGAACCAGCCAAGUCGCGUGAGGGAAGACUGCCCUAUGGGUUGUAAACCUCUUUUGUCAGGGAGCAACGCCGGCUACGUGUAGCCGGACUGAGAGUACCUGAAGAAAAAGCAUCGGCUAACUCCGUGCCAGCAGCCGCGGUAAUACGGAGGAUGCGAGCGUUAUCCGGAUUUAUUGGGUUUAAAGGGUGCGUAGGCGGAAUGCCAAGUCAGCGGUAAAAUCGCGGGGCUCAACCUCGCUCCGCCGUUGAAACUGGCGUUCUUGAGUGGGCGAGAAGUAUGCGGAAUGCGUGGUGUAGCGGUGAAAUGCAUAGAUAUCACGCAGAACUCCGAUUGCGAAGGCAGCAUACCGGCGCCCAACUGACGCUGAAGCACGAAAGCGUGGGUAUCGAACAGGAUUAGAUACCCUGGUAGUCCACGCAGUAAACGAUGAAUACUAGCUGUUCGGGGCAAAUGAGCCUUGAGUGGC
Molecule: ribosomal RNA, 648 nt
Filed under: uncultured bacterium
Lineage: Bacteria
Description: bacterial SSU rRNA
Rfam family: Bacterial small subunit ribosomal RNA
Source: RNAcentral